RNAcentral lists this unclassified non-coding RNA (1729 nucleotides) under Hevea brasiliensis (rubber tree). The record is from RNAcentral. Lineage: Eukaryota; Viridiplantae; Streptophyta; Magnoliopsida; Malpighiales; Euphorbiaceae.
CCCUUCCCUCUCUCUCUCUCUCUCACCGCAAAAUACAAAAAUAGGGAACCAUGAAUUAAGGAAUUAGAACAAAGAAAAAACUGGAUUUACAUUACUUCUGAAAGAAAAUUGACAUUAAUCAAUAAUCAUCCGAAAUGCUUCGCUUGCUUUUCACGAUCCUUGUGUUGAUUUUCAUGCUUUACUUGCUUUGCCCAACCAGUGCAGCAGCCCCUACUUACAGCGUCCACUAUUGCACAAAUACAACUAUUUUCACCCCCAAUAGCACCUACCAGGCCAAUCUCAACUCCGUUCUCUCCGCUCUUUCCUCCAACGCCACAAGCAGCAAUGGAUUCUACAACUUUUCUGCUGGCAGAGAACCCCCUGAUGUUGUGUACGGUCUCUUUCUCUGCCGUGGCGACCUCUCUCCAGUUGCCUGUAAAGAAUGCGUCGACACAGCAGCCAAAGAGAUAAUCCGCCGUUGCCCCAAAGAAAAGGAAUCUUAUAUUUGGUAUGAAGAAUGUUUAUUACGUUAUAAUAACCAGUCUAUCUUCUCCAUCAUCAGAGAAGUGCCUGGCUUUGAUUUGCCUGAUCCACAGAAUGUUACGGAACCAGAGCGCUUCAAUCAGUUGUUAGCCAGUACAAUGAACAGUUUAGCUUCAAAAGCAGCAUCUGAACAAUCCGUUAAAAAGUUUGCAACUGAUGAAGAAAAGUUUACGAGUUCUGAAACACUUUACAGUCUAGUGCAGUGCACGCCAGAUCUCUCUGAGUACCUUUGCAAUAGAUGUUUUCAAUCUGCAAUAGCUGGUCUUCCCAUGUGCUGCAUUGGGAAACGAGGUGGAAAGAUUCUGCUUCCAAGCUGUGUUAUUAGGUACGAACUGUUUCCGUUCUACCGAGUCAAUACCACUGUUCCAGUACCCUCACCUUCAACAACAAAAGGUAAAGUAUUAUCUGGUUCUUGAAGACUUCUGGAUUAGAUUAGGAAGCCCACCUAAAACAAAUAAGAAUUGAAGGAACAAUUAGGUCGUUUGAAUUGGCUUUAGUAAAACAAAUAUUGUUUCAAAAUGGGUAAUUUUCAAUCUUUCUUUUAUACCGUAUGCAGGAAAAAGACAGAUCUCAGUACAGAUAGUUGCUGCCAUUAUUAUUCCCGUAGUUAUAUCCUUGGUGCUACUGGCCCUGGGCAUUUGUUUUCUAAGGAGGAGAGCAAUGAAGAAAUACAAUGCCUUAAGAGAACAAAAUGUUGGGGAUGAAAUUACAGAUGUUAACUCCUUGCAAUUUGAUUUGGCCAUAAUCCAGUCUGCCACAAACAACUUCUCUGCUGACAACAAGAUAGGUGAAGGUGGAUUUGGUACAGUGUACAAGGGUAAACUGUAUAAUGGGCAAGAAAUAGCCGUGAAGAGGCUAUCAAGGGACUCUGGGCAAGGUCUAACAGAGUUUAAGAAUGAGGUGAUGUUGGUCGCUAAGCUUCAGCACAAAAAUCUGGUGCGGCUACAGGGAUUUUGCGCAGAUAGAAAAGAAAAGAUACUUGUAUACGAAUAUGUGCCUAAUGGAAGCCUUGACCGCUUUCUAUUUGACACUGAAAAACAAGGAAAGCUGAAUUGGCCAAGACGCUACAAGAUUAUUGAAGGAAUUGCUCGGGGUUUGUUUUACCUUCAAGAAGACUCGAGGGUGAGAAUUAUCCAUCGUGAUCUCAAAGCUAGUAAUAUUUUAUUAGACGAGGAUACAAAUGCAAAAAUUUCAGAUUUUGGCAUGG